AGUGAACGCUGGCAGCGUGCUUAACACAUGCAAGUCGAACGAGAACGGAAUAUAGCUUGCUAUAUUUGUCAGCUAAGUGGCGCACGGGUGAGUAAUGUAUAGAUAACCUGCCCUUAAGAAAGGAAUAACAGUUGGAAACGAAUGCUAAUGCCCUAUAUGCCUUUAAUACAUAAGUAUGCAAGGGAAACGCUUUAGUGCUUAAGGAUGGGUCUGUAUGGUAUCAGCUUGUUGGUUAGGUAAUGGCUCACCAAGGCGAUGACGCCUAACUGGUUUGAGAGGAUGAGCAGACACACUGGAGCUGGGACACGGUCCAGACUCCUACGGGAUGCAGCAGUGGGGAAUAUUGCACAAUGGACGAAAGUCUGAUGCAGCAACGCCGCGUGGAGGAUGACACAUUUCGGUGCGUAAACUCCUUUUAUAUAGGAAGAUAAUGACGGUACUAUAUGAAUAAGCACCGGCUAACUCCGUGCCAGCCGCCGCGGUAA
This 485-nucleotide ribosomal RNA is filed under the name uncultured bacterium. RNAcentral describes it as "partial 16S ribosomal RNA". It matches the Rfam family "Bacterial small subunit ribosomal RNA", at positions 29 to 523 of the family's 1533-position model. The record is from RNAcentral.